AGUGAACGCUGGCGGUAGGCCUAACACAUGCAAGUCGAACGGCAGCACAGUAAGAGCUUGCUCUUACGGGUGGCGAGUGGCGGACGGGUGAGGAAUACAUCGGAAUCUACUUUUUCGUGGGGGAUAACGUAGGGAAACUUACGCUAAUACCGCAUACGACCUACGGGUGAAAGCAGGGGAUCUUCGGACCUUGCGCGAUUGAAUGAGCCGAUGUCGGAUUAGCUAGUUGGCGGGGUAAAGGCCCACCAAGGCGACGAUCCGUAGCUGGUCUGAGAGGAUGAUCAGCCGCACUGGGACUUAGACACGGUCCAGACUCCUACGGGAGGCAGCAGUGGGGAAUAUUGGGCACAGGGCGCAAACCUGAUCCAUCCAUACCGCGUGGGUGAAGAAGGCCUUCGGGUUGUAAAGCCCUUUUGUUGGGAAAGAAAAGCAGCAGGUUAAUACCCCGCUGUUCUGACGGUACCCAAAGAAUAAGCACCGGCUAACUUCGUG
This 492-nucleotide ribosomal RNA is filed under the name uncultured bacterium. RNAcentral's name for it is "partial 16S ribosomal RNA". It matches the Rfam family "Bacterial small subunit ribosomal RNA", at positions 29 to 507 of the family's 1533-position model. The record is from RNAcentral.